CAUCACAUGGCCGGCCUAACUGCUCGGUCACUGGCCGCAGGUGUUGCUUGGAUUUAUCAUGAAAAAACUUGCUCUCAGGUUCGAUCUUUGGGAUGAACUUAGUGUAAGGGGUUCCACUUCCAGUUGGAGUUGGUGAUACUCAUCACGUUGUCAUGACGGAAACUGAUCCCGAGACCAUGCUGAAGUUUUUCAAAGGCUGCUGGAAAUUUAAUCGUGAAGUGAGAUCUCUAACAAAUGGUGCUCUACUUGGCUCUGUCCGUGAUGGGGAAGCUUCAUACUUACCCUGGUGCAAGUUGGAGAGUGACACAGACACCAAAGAGAAAUGGCUGUUGUAUAGAGAAAGAGGACAUUUUAAUAACCUAGAAUAUGUCUCUGCCUCUGGGCCAUUUACAAGACAAUAUUUGUACUGUUUUGAUAUGCAAGAUGGUAAAGUCAAUGCAUAUCACUGCUCAAAACAUGCACAGGCUGUAGAAAAUGACCUGAAGCCCUUUAAUACAGGUUUUAGUACAAAUUUAUUCUAUGAGGCAGGGUAUUUUCAUGAUUUAAACUUCAAAGAAACCAACAAAGAUGAGCAAAGUGGCUUUAAACCUGUGGAAGCUAUGUGCCAACACCCAUGUGGUGAUGAUAUCUAUGAUGGAUUUUACGAAUUGCAAUCACAAAAAAAUUUUACAACGACAUGGAAAGUUGUAGGGCCUCAAAAAUCAUUUAAAAUUGUUACAGUUUAUAGAAAAAUGGAAGAUCAACCCAACUUAACAAAUAAUGUUUGAAGAUGCACAGAUUAUGUCAUUCUUAUAUACUUUCUGGAAAUUUUAAUACUUUCACACCGUUUUACUAGUACUAGUACUUAAGAUGGAUCACAUUUCAGAGAUGAUACAGAUCAGCCUCUUUAUUAUGUAUGCAGACUGUUCCCUAUGCUAGUUACGUUUUCUGAAUGUCCACAUUUAAAUGAUAGCAUAUGAUUAAAAAUUGGUUGUGAUUAAGCUUUUCAGAAUUAUGUAAUUUAUUGCAUCAAAUGUGACAAAAAUUCUUCAUGCAUGCCAUCAUUCUGCAAUUCUUCUGCUAGCUUACUUUUAAUAAAAUAAAAAAAAAGUUAAAUGGAUCUUUAUAUUGACAAUCAGUACAUACACUAAGAGGGCAUUCCCAGAGAUUUAGAUCGUUCUUACUAGAUCAACCUAACUCCGUGGGGGUUCACGCUAAAUUACGGUCAAAUGCAUGGAAGUUAAUUACCCCUUUACACCUUGUAGUAGGCAGAACGACAUUUAAGCGGGAUUAUCUGACAGUAAUCUAGUGAGACUCCCCACGGGGAUAGAUCGUUCUAAAAUCUAUGGGAAUGUGCCCUUAGUGUAAUCAGUCGGAGUUCUUUGUGGCAAUGUAAAGUUGAAAUAUUGUAAGCAAACUAAGGUUUUCAUCAAAGGCCAGCAGAGAGCACUCUUCCUCCUGAACAUUGGCAUUCCCAAAGCAUUGUAACGGCUCACCUGAUUUGAAACAGUGAACCAAUAUAUUCUAAUAUUUUGCGUGACAUAAAAAUAACGAUGGUAAUAAUGUUAGAGAAUCGUGUUACAUAUUAGGUGCAUAGGACUUUGAUAGUCAUGCCUUAUGUUAAUAGACGUUUUCAACAAAGGGAACAGGCUUUUGCAUGAUGUAUUUCUAUACAUUAGUUUUGUUUAGAGUGCUUAUAGUAUACGUCUACCAUGCAAAAAAAGAGCGAUCCCAUGCUGUGAGCAAUGACUCGGGAUUAAGAUCAAACCUAACUUAUGGUUUUGAAAUACUUGAUCUAUAUAUGUAAUGAUGAUGUGUAUUUAUUUAUGUAACUUUGUUGCUUUUUUAUUUGUGUAAUGUUGUAGUAAGAUGUUUUUGUCUAUGGUUGUACCUUCUUUAUGAAGGUAUAUAUCAAUAAAGAGUCCUACAAA
This is a long non-coding RNA of Lingula anatina, 1910 nucleotides long. RefSeq lists it as uncharacterized. NCBI's taxonomy places the organism in Eukaryota, Metazoa, Brachiopoda, Lingulata, Lingulida, Lingulidae. The record is from RefSeq and is a predicted model, not a curated record.